This 1352-nucleotide ribosomal RNA is filed under the name metagenome. RNAcentral describes it as "bacterial SSU rRNA". It matches the Rfam family "Bacterial small subunit ribosomal RNA", at positions 8 to 1354 of the family's 1533-position model. The record is from RNAcentral.
AGAGUUUGAUUCUGGCUCAGAACGAACGCUGGCGGCGUGGAUAAGACAUGCAAGUCGAACGGGAACUCUUAAGCUUGCUUUGGAGUUCUAGUGGCGAACGGGUGAGUAACACGUGAGUGACCUGCCCUGAAGCGCGGGAUAGCCCGGGGAAACUCGGAUUAAUACCGCAUGUGAUUGAAAAAUUAAAGGUGCCGCAAGGUGCCGCUUCGGGAUGGGCUCGCGGCCUAUCAGCUUGAUGGUGGGGUAACGGCCUACCAUGGCGAUGACGGGUAACUGGUCUGAGAGGAUGAUCAGUCACACUGGAACUGAGACACGGUCCAGACACCUACGGGUGGCAGCAGUCGAGAAUCAUUCGCAAUGGGGGAAACCCUGACGGUGCGACGCCGCGUGGAGGAUGACGGCCCUCGGGUUGUAAACUCCUGUCAUCGGUGAGUAAGGUUUUGCGGAGUAACUGCCGCAAAAAUUGAUAGUAGCCGAAGAGGAAGGGACGGCUAACUUCGUCCCAGCAGCCGCGGUAAUACGAAGGUCCCAAGCGUUGUUCGGAAUCACUGGGCGUAAAGCGUGCGUAGGCGGCGGGGUAAGUCAGAUGUGAAAGGCAGGGGCUCAACUCCUGGACUGCAUCCGAUACUGCCUUGCUCGAGUAGUGGAGGGGAGUCUGGAAUUCUCGGUGUAGCAGUGAAAUGCGUAGAUAUCGAGAGGAACACUAGUGGCGAAGGCGAGACUCUGGACACUUACUGACGCUCAGGCACGAAGGCCAGGGUAGCGAAAGGGAUUAGAUACCCCUGUAGUCCUGGCAGUAAACGGUGCACGUUUGGUGUGGGGAGGUUCGACCCUUUCCGUGCCGAAGCUAACGCGUUAAACGUGCCGCCUGGGGAGUACGGCCGCAAGGCUAAAACUCAAAGAAAUUGACGGGGACCCGCACAAGCGGUGGAGUAUGUGGCUUAAUUCGAUGCAACGCGAAGAACCUUACCUGGGCUUGACAUGCUAGGUCGUAGCUGCGUGAAAGCGCGGCGUCAGUCUGCUGGACCUAGCACAGGUGCUGCAUGGCUGUCGUCAGCUCGUGUCGUGAGAUGUUGGGUUAAGUCCCGCAACGAGCGCAACCCCUGUGGUCUGUCGCCAGCACGUAAAGGUGGGGACUCUGACCAGACUGCCGGUAAUAAACCGGAGGAAGGUGGGGAUGACGUCAGGUCAGUAUGGCCCUUACGCCCAGGGCUGCACACGUACUACAAUGCCCAGUACAACAUGAUCCGAGACCGCGAGGUGGAGGAAACCGUAAAAACUGGGCUCAGUUCGGAUUGGAGGCUGCAACUCGCCUCCAUGAAGUCGGAAUCGCUAGUAAUGGCGCAUCAGCU